AUUCUUCUCGAGCUCACGAACAACAUGCUGAUGCUACCAAUGAUUAUGCUGGUACUGCUUAUUGCAAAAACGGUCGGUGACAUCUUCAACUCCGCCAUCUGGGAAAUGUACGUCAGGAUCAAAGGAUAUCCAAUACUGGAAGCAAAACCCGAACCUUUCAUGCAGCAGCUUACAGCCAAAGAUGCGGUAACAACGUCCGUGGUUUCACUGUCGCCAGUCGAGCAAGUGUCAACGGUACUAAUGGUUCUGAGGAACACAACGCACAACGCCUUUCCUGUCAUCGGAGAGUCCAGCACGACUGGAAGGAAAGUUUUCCUGGGCCUGGUACUGCGAUCACACUUGCUGGUACUGCUGAAAAACAAGGCCUUCCAUUACGCAUCAAGUGGCUCUGCAGAAAAUUCGAAAAUGUUACAGUUCACGGACUUUGCAAAACCAGCGACAGGGAAGUCUUUAAAGAUCGAGGAUAUAGAUUUACGUCCCGAGGAGGAGCUGGAGUUCAUCAACGUCAGACACAUCACAAACGGAUCACCGUAUACUGUCCUUGAAUCGGCAUCACUGGCCAAGGCC
Molecule: long non-coding RNA, 567 nt
Filed under: Selaginella moellendorffii
Lineage: Eukaryota; Viridiplantae; Streptophyta; Lycopodiopsida; Selaginellales; Selaginellaceae
Description: long non-coding RNA (SMOE_LNC001988)
Source: RNAcentral